Molecule: ribosomal RNA, 497 nt
Filed under: uncultured bacterium
Lineage: Bacteria
Description: partial 16S ribosomal RNA
Rfam family: Bacterial small subunit ribosomal RNA
Source: RNAcentral
GAUGAACGCUGGCGGCGUGCCUAAUACAUGCAAGUCGAGCGAACAGACGAGGAGCUUGCUCCUCUGACGUUAGCGGCGGACGGGUGAGUAACACGUGGAUAACCUACCUAUAAGACUGGGAUAACUUCGGGAAACCGGAGCUAAUAUCGGAUAAUAUAUUGAACCGCAUGGUUCAAUAGUGAAAGACGGUUUUGCUGUCACUUAUAGAUGGAUCCGCGCCGCAUUAGCUAGUUGGUAAGGUAACGGCUUACCAAGGCAACGAUGCGUAGCCGACCUGAGAGGGUGAUCGGGCACCCUGGGACCUGGGCAACGGCCCAACCUCCUAGGGGAGGCAGCAGUAGGGAAUCUUCCGAAAUGGCGAAAGCCUGACGGAGCAACGCCGCGUGAGUGAUGAAGGUCUUCGGAUCGUAAAACUCUGUUAUUAGGGAAGAACAAAUGUGUAAGUAACUAUGCACGUCUUGACGGUACCUAAUCAGAAAGCCACGGCUAACUACGUG